CCUACGGGAGGCAGCAGUAGGGAAUAUUGCGCAAUGGAGGAAACCCUGAAGCAGCAACGCCGCGUGGGGGAUGAAGGUUUUAGGAUUGUAAACUCCUGUUGUAAGAGAAGAUAAUGACGGUAUCUCACAAGUAAACACCGUCUAAAUCCGUGCCAGCAGCCGCGGUAAUACGGAGGGUGCAAGCGUUGCGCGGAAUCACUGGGCGUAAAGAGUGCGCAGGCGGGUUUGUAAGUCAGAUGUGUAAUGCUGUAGCUUAACUACAGAUCUGCAUUUGAAACUAUGAGUCUAGAGUGCGGGAGAGGUAGGUGGAAUUCUUGGUGUAGGGGUAAAAUCCGUAGAUAUCAAGAGGAAUACUCAUUGCGAAGGCGACCUACUGGAACAUUACUGACGCUCAUGCACGAAAGCGUGGGGAGCAAACAGGAUUAGAUACCCCUGUAGUC
This 440-nucleotide ribosomal RNA is filed under the name uncultured bacterium. Its description in RNAcentral is "partial 16S ribosomal RNA". It matches the Rfam family "Bacterial small subunit ribosomal RNA", at positions 338 to 795 of the family's 1533-position model. The record is from RNAcentral.